AUGUCAAAGAAGAAUGCCAAGAGGGACGAUCAGGAUACGAGGCUUACCUCGUCACUCACAAUCUUCUUAACUCUCACGCAGAAGCCGUUGAAGCUUUCCGACAAUGUGAAAAGGUAUAUCAUAUAUUAUAUAAUAAUAAUUUAUCGUCUUUCGGAACUAAACAUUUGUUCGUUUUGUGUUAUGUUAAUGGCCAGUGUAAAGGUGGGAAAAUCGGAAUCGCACAUAGUCCGGCUUGGUUCGAACCACACGACCUUGCUGAUUCACAAGAUGGUGCAUCCAUUAACCGUGCACUUGACUUUAUUUUGGGAUGGUGAGUAGCUAAUAUCCUAAUAUCAAGUAUUAAUUUUCUUGUAAUUUAAUACAAUAUGUAAUAUAUGAUUAUUAUUAUUAUUAUCUUUUGUAGGCAUCUAGACACAACAACGUAUGGAGAUUACCCACAGAUCAUGAAAGACAUUGUUGGACACAGAUUGCCUAAAUUUACUGAUCAGCAGAAGGCAAAAUUGAAAAACUCAGCCGAUUUCGUUGGGCUCAACUAUUAUACUUCAGUAUUUUCAAACCAUUUGGAGAAGCCAGAUUAUUCUAAACCAAGAUGGAUGCAAGAUUCUCUUAUUAACUGGGAAUGUAAGUUUUUUUUGGUUUUUGUUUUUGUUUUUCUGCUUUUUUGCCCUUACUUGAGACAGAACCAAGAAAACAGAUGCCAACAAAUAGAAGGAAAAAGUUUGUCUUUGGUACUAAUCAAAAUCUAUCUUCUUUUCAGCUAAGAAUGCGCACAAUUACUCCAUUGGUAGCAAGGUAUGUAUUUGAUAGUCUAAUACUGAAUUAUAUUAUUUCAGAUAAAUAUUAUAAUCUUGUCUAUAACGUAACAUUUUUCACCUUUGUCGUAUUUCAGCCUUUCACGGCUGCACUGCCCGUUUACGCGAGAGGCUUCAGAAGUCUUUUGAAGUACAUCAAAGAUAAAUAUGCCAACCCGGAAAUUAUGAUCAUGGAAAAUGGUAAUUAGAGAGAUUUCUUAUUUUCGUUCAUUUUGUUUGAAAAACAUAUAUAAAAAAAAAAUAUUGAUCUUGAUGUUGUUUUCUAGGAUAUGGAGAAGAACUUGGGGCAUCAGAUUCGAUUGCAGUUGGUACUGCUGAUCAUAACAGGAAGUAUUACCUCCAGAGGCAUCUUUUAAGUAUGCAAGAAGCUAUCUGGUAAGUCUUAUAUAUUUCUGUUUUAUAUGGUAGACUAGCAAUUGUAUUGGAGAGUUAAUAAUAACAUUUGUGUACUAUAUGCAGCAUCGACAAGGUGAAUGUUACAGGAUACUUUGUAUGGUCAUUGUUGGAUAACUUCGAGUGGCAAGACGGUUAUAAGAACAGAUUUGGAUUAUAUUACAUUGAUUUCAAAAAUAACCUCACACGUUAUGAGAAAGAAUCGGGCAAAUUCUACAAAGAUUUCCUCAGUGUAGGGACUCGUCCAUCCAUGAUCAAGAGGGACGAGCUUUAAGCUAUUUUUUGAGAAUUUGGUCGUGUCGAUGUGUCUUUCCUAUGUUUGUAUUUUAUAAUUUACCAAGAUUCUAGAGGUCUUGGGUUGAAUAAAAGAGUGUCUUCUUCAUUUAUGUCUAUAUGAUUUGCAAGAUAUACUAGAAAACUCUGGUUGUGAAAAACCGGAUUUACCUCUAAACAUAGAAAUGGAUUAGGAAAUAUGAUAUAUUUAAAACAAUAUCUAAAUAUCUAGACGUAAACGAUAAGGCUGAUGCAUGAGAAACCAAAAUAAUAUAUUCUCCGAAAAAACCCAAAGUCGGGUAAGAUCAAUUAUAUUUACAGUAAAACCUUUAUAAUAAUUAAUCUCGGAAUUUUGGAAAUAUUUUAAUCUAUAGAAAAUAUUAUUAAUAUUGCAAUAUAUGAAGCUUUUGACACAGCGACUUAUUAAGUCACAUUUUAAUAUAAGCUCGUGGCACACGCGGAAUAUUAUAUGUUUCGAAUUUCGAGUAAAAAUGAUAACAACGCAUUGAUAAUUAGACCAUGCAAUUAAUCCUAUAUCCAAUUUUUUUUUUCUUUCCGACAAACACAUAUUAUAUCCAACUAUGGACUAAUAUUUUUAGUGGAAAAAGAAGAAGAAGAUAGCAACAGGAUACCGUAAAUAUCCAAAUAUAUAUUAAGAUGUGGUCGAAAACACGAUAUAAUUAAGUCUAUAAAGUGGGUCGAUUAAAAAAACACGAUAUGGGUCUUUAAAGUGGAAAUUAAAAAUAUGAUCCACGAGGCCUGGUGGUGGUUGGCAUAGUAAAACAAAAUAAAAAAAUAAUUAAAAUCUAAAGUUCAAUCAGUGAAUCAAAAUCGCUAUAUAAAGAACUCCACUUGAAUGUAUAAAAUACCAAACACACUCUUGAAGAAAACAAAAAACAACUCAAACCAAAAUGGCUUUGCAUAAGUUUCCUCUCAUGGGGCUGCUUUUGCUCCUAACCAUCUCCGUCUCUCCGGCAAUAGCUGAUGGACCUGUUUGCCCGCCGUCUACGAAACUAAGCCGGGCAAGUUACCCUGAAGGUUUUUUGUUUGGCACGGCUACGGCAGCGUAUCAGGUAUAAACAUUUCUUGACAUUUAUUUUUAGAUUUUUAUAUAUGUUCAUAAGUUAUUUCAGAUAGUAAGGUUCAUAUAGACGGCAUAGUAAAAUCCAUAUUCAUCAUUAUCAAUAUCACGUUUCACAGUAUAUAAAAUAGUAAAAACUAUAGAAUAAAGUCAUAAAGAUGACAUUCUAAACGGAAUAAGAGUGUUUUGGUCUUUUGCUAGUUAUCUAGUAAUUUUGUUUUUGUUUUUUUUUUUUUUUUAUCAUGGUGCUUACUUAAUAUCCCUUUAAAAAUAAUUUAAAUGGCGAAUUUACCUAUAGAUUUUUUUGAACAAUUAAUUUAGCUACAUUUUAUAUAUAUCAUAAGGUUGAAGGUGCAGUGAAUGAAACUUGCCGUGGACCAGCCUUAUGGGAUAUCUACUGUAAGAGAUUUCCAGGUGAGUGUCUCUACGUUUCUUAUCUCGUAAUUGUGUUUAGGAUUAUUCAUUCUUCCACUAAUAAUAUCGAAACUCAACUGAUUAUUUUCAUUAAAUUUGAAUUACAGCAAGAUGCAACAACGAUAACGGCGAUGUAGCUGUUGAUUUCUUCCAUCGUUAUAAGGUAUACAAUUUAGUUCAGGUUAAAGAAAUCAAUUAUGGCAACGUAUAUCAAGUAAUUAAUUAAUUAAUUAAUUAAUUAAUAUUUCCUGUUAUUCUAUUUUAUAGUCCAUUGAUUCAUAUUAGAUGCUAAUAAUUUGUGUCGUCGUAAAAAAUGUUUAUAGGAAGAUAUCCAACUAAUGAAGAAUCUAAACACAGACGCCUUCAGAAUGUCUAUCGCAUGGCCAAGAAUAUUUCCUCGUGAGUAUAUGUGCUAAGAAUCUAUACACAUUUAUCUGUCUACUCAAUCAGUAACUUGAUUUAAUUUUACUCGAGAUUGGUAUUUUCAAAAUGUAUAUCAUUGUUGAGAUAUUAAUGAAGCAAAACAAUAUUAUAUCAGAUGGGAGAAUGGAGAAAGGAAUCAGUUGGGCUGGUGUGCAAUUUUACCACGACCUCAUUGACGAACUCCUUAAAAAUGGUUAUAUAUUUUAAUGUGUAUAUAUAUAUAUAGUGACAAUUGCUGAUUAUAGACGUUAAUAAAAUUUUCUAAAACUUUUUAUUACUGUUUUUAAAAGGUAUAAUUCCGUUCGUGACUGUUUAUCACUGGGAUACUCCACAAGAUUUAGAAGAUGAAUAUGGUGGCUUUUUAAGCGAAAGGAUUGUGUAAGUUUUUUUUGAUAAAACAACUCAUAUUUUAAUGUAUAUAAAACCACUAUAAAACAGGAAAAAUUAAUUGAAUAACUUUUUGGAAAAAUGCAGGAAAGAUUUCCGAGAAUAUGCAAAUUUUGUUUUUCAAGAAUAUGGUGGAAAAGUAAAACAUUGGAUCACUUUUAACGAGCCAUGGGUUUUCUCGCACGCUGGUUAUGACGUAGGCAAGAAAGCACCAGGACGUUGCUCUAAGUACGUCAAAGAUGAAUGUCAUGAGGGACGAUCAGGAUUCGAGGCUUACCUCGUCACUCACAAUCUCCUUAACUCUCACGCAGAAGCCGUUGAAGCUUUCCGACAAUGUGAAAAGGUAUAUCAUAUUCAUAGUUUCAUACAUAAUAAUAAUUUAUCGGCUUUCGGAUCUGAAACACUCUUUGCUUUGUGUUAUGUUUAUGGCCGCAGUGUA
RNAcentral lists this long non-coding RNA (4222 nucleotides) under Eutrema salsugineum. RNAcentral describes it as "long non-coding RNA (ESAL_LNC001671)". Lineage: Eukaryota; Viridiplantae; Streptophyta; Magnoliopsida; Brassicales; Brassicaceae. The record is from RNAcentral.